Molecule: ribosomal RNA, 492 nt
Filed under: uncultured bacterium
Lineage: Bacteria
Description: bacterial SSU rRNA
Rfam family: Bacterial small subunit ribosomal RNA
Source: RNAcentral
UGGGGAAUCUUGGACAAUGGGGGCAACCCUGAUCCAGCCAUGCCGCGUGAGUGAUGAAGGCCUUAGGGUCGUAAAGCUCUUUCGCCUGUGAAGAUAAUGACGGUAGCAGGUAAAGAAACCCCGGCUAACUCCGUGCCAGCAGCCGCGGUAAUACGGAGGGGGUUAGCGUUGUUCGGAAUUACUGGGCGUAAAGCGCACGUAGGCGGACCAGAAAGUUGGGGGUGAAAUCCCGGGGGCUCAACCCCGGAACUGCCUCCAAAACUAUUGGUCUAGAGUUCGAGAGAGGUGAGUGGAAUUCCAAGUGUAGAGGUGAAAUUCGUAGAUAUUUGGAGGAACACCAGUGGCGAAGGCGCCUAACUGGUCCGGUACUGACGCUGAGGAACGAAAGCGUGGGGAGCAAACAGGAUUAGAUACCCUGGUAGUCCACGCCGUAAAACGAUGGAGUGCUAGAUGUUGGGGAUUUUCGGAUUUCAGUGUCGCAGCUAACGCAUU